ACCACUGUAGCAGCACUACAAUAUAAAUAAAGUUCAUGGCCAUAAUUAAGCACAGAAAACGAGUUGCUAAAUUGAGUGAAUAAUAAUAAUACUUUGCAAUAAUUGGUAGACAGAUUGCAGUUCACUUUGUUGAUGGUCUACUAUUAACUUUGUCUUUGUAGAUUCGGGCAAUGACGAAAAUUACAAGGGAAAGAAGAAUAGCAACGGGCCCGUAGCUGCAAAAAAUUUGAGCAAUGACAUAAAUGAAAAGGGGAAUAAGAAUGAGGAUAGACCCACAGCUGCAAAAAGAAGGAAGGGAACAAAACUCAAUGCCUGUGUU
Molecule: long non-coding RNA, 319 nt
Organism: Anneissia japonica
Lineage: Eukaryota; Metazoa; Echinodermata; Crinoidea; Comatulida; Comatulidae
Exons: 3
Source: RefSeq, a predicted model, not a curated record